GAUGAACGCUGGCGGCGUGCCUAAUACAUGCAAGUCGAGCGAACAGACGAGGAGCUUGCUCCUCUGACGUUAGCGGCGGACGGGUGAGUAACACGUGGAUAACCUACCUAUAAGACUGGGAUAACUUCGGGAAACCGGAGCUAAUACCGGAUAAUAUAUUGAACCGCAUGGUUCAAUAGUGAAAGACGGUUUUGCUGUCACUAUAGAUGGAUCCGCGCCGCAUUAGCUAGUUGGUAAGGUAACGGCUUACCAAGGCAACGAUGCGUAGCCGACCUGAGAGGGUGAUCGGCCACACUGGAACUGAGACACGGUCCAGACUCCUACGGGAGGCAGCAGUAGGGAAUCUUCCGCAAUAGGCGGAAGCCUGACGGAGCGACGCCGCGUGAGUGAUGAAGGUCUUCGGAUCGUAAAACUCUGUUAUUAGGGAAGAACAAAUGUGUAAGUAACUAUGCACGUCUUGACGGUACCUAAUCAGAAAGCCACGGCUAACUACGUG
Molecule: ribosomal RNA, 496 nt
Filed under: uncultured bacterium
Lineage: Bacteria
Description: partial 16S ribosomal RNA
Rfam family: Bacterial small subunit ribosomal RNA
Source: RNAcentral